This 305-nucleotide ribosomal RNA is filed under the name uncultured bacterium. RNAcentral's name for it is "bacterial SSU rRNA". It matches the Rfam family "Bacterial small subunit ribosomal RNA", at positions 336 to 658 of the family's 1533-position model. The record is from RNAcentral.
UUCCUACGGGGCGCAGCAGUGGGGGAUAUUGCACAAUGGGGGAAACCCUGAUGCAGCGACGCCGCGUGGGUGAAGAAGCGCCUCGGCGCGUAAAGCCCUGUCAGCAGGGAAGAAAAUGACGGUACCUGAAGAAGAAGCCCCGGCUAACUACGUGCCAGCAGCCGCGGUAAUACGUAGGGGGCAAGCGUUAUCCGGAUUUACUGGGUGUAAAGGGGGCGCAGACGGCGAUGCAAGCCAGGAGUGAAAGCCCGGGGCCCAACCCCGGGACUGCUUUUGAAACUGUACAGCUUGAUUGCAGGAGAGGC